UGGGGAAUUUUGCGCAAUGGGGGAAACCCUGACGCAGCAACGCCGCGUGGAGGAUGAAGUCCCUUGGGACGUAAACUCCUGUCAGGCGGGACGAACGGACGCCGGUGAACAAUCGGCGUCUCUGACGGUACCGCCAGAGGAAGCCCCGGCUAACUCCGUGCCAGCAGCCGCGGUAAUACGGAGGGGGCGAGCGUUAUUCGGAAUUAUUGGGCGUAAAGGGCGCGUAGGCGGCCUGGUAAGUCAAAGGUGAAAUCCCUCGGCUCAACUGAGGAAUUGCCUUUGAAACUGCAAGGCUUGAGGCCGGGAGGGGGUAGCGGAAUUCCCAGUGUAGCGGUGAAAUGCGUAGAUAUUGGGAGGAACACCAGUGGCGAAGGCGGCUACCUGGACCGGUUCUGACGCUGAUGCGCGAAAGCGUGGGGAGCAAACAGGAUUAGAUACCCCCGUAGUCC
RNAcentral lists this ribosomal RNA (449 nucleotides) under uncultured bacterium. Its description in RNAcentral is "bacterial SSU rRNA". It matches the Rfam family "Bacterial small subunit ribosomal RNA", at positions 355 to 796 of the family's 1533-position model. The record is from RNAcentral.